This 422-nucleotide ribosomal RNA is filed under the name Actinomyces bovis. RNAcentral describes it as "bacterial SSU rRNA". It matches the Rfam family "Bacterial small subunit ribosomal RNA", at positions 52 to 470 of the family's 1533-position model. Lineage: Bacteria; Bacillati; Actinomycetota; Actinomycetes; Actinomycetales; Actinomycetaceae. The record is from RNAcentral.
CACAUGCAAGUCGAACGGUGAAGCCCAGCUUGCUGGGUGGAUGAGUGGCGAACGGGUGAGUAACACGUGAGUAACCUGCCCCUGACUUCUGGAUAACCGCUUGAAAGGGUGGCUAAUACGGGAUAUUUUGGCCUGCUCGCAUGGGUGGGUUUGGAAAGGUUCUUUUUCUGGUUGGGGAUGGGCUCGCGGCCUAUCAGCUUGUUGGUGGGGUGAUGGCCUACCAAGGCUUUGACGGGUAGCCGGCCUGAGAGGGUGGACGGCCACACUGGGACUGAGACACGGCCCAGACUCCUACGGGAGGCAGCAGUGGGGAAUAUUGCACAAUGGGCGCAAGCCUGAUGCAGCGACGCCGCGUGAGGGAUGUAGGCCUUCGGGUUGUGAACCUCUUUCGCCAGUGAAGCAGGCCGCUUCCUUUGUGGGGU